This 923-nucleotide ribosomal RNA is filed under the name uncultured delta proteobacterium. RNAcentral describes it as "bacterial SSU rRNA". It matches the Rfam family "Bacterial small subunit ribosomal RNA", at positions 8 to 905 of the family's 1533-position model. Lineage: Bacteria; Deltaproteobacteria. The record is from RNAcentral.
AGAGUUUGAUCCUGGCUCAGAACGAACACUGGCGGCGUACAUAACACAUGCAAGUCGAACGAGAAAUUCCGAUUCGUCGGGAGAGUAAAGUGGCGAACGGGUGAGUAAUACGAGGGUAAUCUAUCCUUGGAUUAGGGAUAACUUUGCGAAAGCGAAACUAAUACCUGAUAAGACUACAAUCUCUUAGGGGAUAGUAGGAAAAGAUGGCCUCUGUUUCAUGCUAUUGUCUGAGGAUGAGCCCUUGCACUAUUAGCUAGUUGGUGAGAUAAAAGCUCACCAAGGCGACGAUGGUUAGUUGGUCUGAGAGGAUGACCAGCCACACUGGAACUGAGACACGGUCCAGACUCCUACGGGAGGCAGCAGUGAGGAAUAUUGCGCAAUGGGGGAAACCCUGACGCAGUGACGCCGCGUGAGUGAUGAAGGCUUUCGAGUCGUAAAGCUCUGUGAGGUGGAAAGAAAAAUUCCAGUGAUAAUACCACUGGAACUUGACGGUACCACCAGAGGAAGCACCGGCUAACUCCGUGCCAGCAGCCGCGGUAAUACGGAGGGUGCAAGUGUUGUUCGGAAUUACUGGGCGUAAAGGGCGUGUAGGCGGUUAGGCAAGUCAGAUGUGAAAGCCCUUGGCUUAACCAAGGAAGUGCAUUUGAAACUGCUUGACUAGAGUACAGGAUGGGAAAGUGGAAUUCCCAGUGUAGAGGUGAAAUUCAUAGAUAUUGGGAGGAACACCGGUGGCGAAGGCGGCUUUCUGGCCUGAUACUGACGCUGAGACGCGAAAGCGUGGGGGGCAAACAGGAUUAGAUACCCUGGUAGUCCACGCCGUAAACGAUGGGCACUAGGUGUAGGAAGUUUUGACCCCUUCUGUGCCGAAGCUAACGCAUUAAGUGCCCCUUUUGAAGAGUACGGUCGCAAGGCUAAAACUCAAA